UUAGUUGGUGGAGUGAUUUGUCUGGUUAAUUCCGUUAACGAACGAGACCUCAGCCUGCUAAUUAGUAGUACUUAUUCUAUCCGUACGAAUUUGGUUUGUGUUUUCCGAACGGCGACUUUGGUCACGCUCUGGAAACGGAGUAUUCUAUCGUCUCUUAGUAGGAGAGUCUCUCUCAAAAGGUACACUUUGGAAUAGGUCUCUUCGACGAAGCACGGGGAGAUAUCCUUGAUGUGAUGUGUCGGCGACAACUUCUUAGAGGGACUAUCUGUGUUCAGCAGAAGUAAGUGUGAGGCAAUAACAGG
Molecule: ribosomal RNA, 302 nt
Filed under: uncultured eukaryote
Lineage: Eukaryota
Description: partial small subunit ribosomal RNA
Rfam family: Eukaryotic small subunit ribosomal RNA
Source: RNAcentral